GAUGAACGCUAGCGGCAGGCUUAACACAUGCAAGUCGAGGGGUAACAGGGAGUGCUUGCACUCCGCUGACGACCGGCGCACGGGUGCGUAACGCGUAUGCAACCUACCUUUUACAGGGGGAUAGUCAAGAGAAAUUUUGAAUAAUACCCCAUACGAUCAUCAAUACACAUGUAUAGAUGAAGAAAACUUUUGUGGUAAAAGAUGGGCAUGCGUCCUAUUAGCUAGAUGGAGAGGUAACGGCUCCCCAUGGCGACGAUAGGUAGGGGUCCUGAGAGGGAGAUCCCCCACACUGGUACUGAGACACGGACCAGACUCCUACGGGAGGCAGCAGUGAGGAAUAUUGGACAAUGGAGGCAACUCUGAUCCAGCCAUGCCGCGUGCAGGAAGACUGCCCUAUGGGUUGUAAACUGCUUUUAUACAGGAAGAAACACUCCCUCGUGAGGGAGCUUGACGGUACUGUACGAAUAAGGAUCGGCUAACUCCGUGCCAGCCGCCGCCGUAACAC
RNAcentral lists this ribosomal RNA (505 nucleotides) under uncultured bacterium. RNAcentral's name for it is "bacterial SSU rRNA". It matches the Rfam family "Bacterial small subunit ribosomal RNA", at positions 28 to 526 of the family's 1533-position model. The record is from RNAcentral.